AAGCUUUCAUACUUAUUAUUGAAGAGAGGUUAGAUUUUCAUUCGUGCUUUCCUUGAAUAUCAUUCAUGGUACUUCUUGCAUCAACUUGAGAAAGAUUCCACCUACACUUAAUUUGAAAACUAUCUUUGGAAUCACAUUCGAUAUGUUCUGCUCUGAAAUUGGCUCUGAUCUAUGCCCAUUAAUCUUAUUCUAAUAUUAUUGCCUUGAGUUAUAUGAUUCAUAUUCUUGCAAUAAUUUGACAUGCAAAUCAGAGUACAAUAAGAAAUAUUUGAGUAGUCUUAUCUUUGUGCUUAAUGUUUUACUAUCUUUUUGAUGUUGUCAAAAAGGGGGAGAAAUAUCUAAGUAUAUGCUCAUAAUGCUUUAUGUGUUGAUUAUGUUAAGUUGAUUAAAUCUAAAGCAUUAUCAUGAAGUCUAUGUUAAAGAUAUAUAUUUUCUACUUCAAACAACUUAGCUAUGCAUUACUUCUAGAACACAAUAUAUUU
This 482-nucleotide long non-coding RNA is filed under the name Phoenix dactylifera (date palm). RNAcentral's name for it is "long non-coding RNA (PDAC_LNC022412)". The record is from RNAcentral. Lineage: Eukaryota; Viridiplantae; Streptophyta; Magnoliopsida; Arecales; Arecaceae.